RNAcentral lists this ribosomal RNA (1026 nucleotides) under uncultured organism. RNAcentral describes it as "bacterial SSU rRNA". It matches the Rfam family "Bacterial small subunit ribosomal RNA", at positions 317 to 1325 of the family's 1533-position model. The record is from RNAcentral.
GACUGAGACACUGCCCGGACACCUACGGGUGGCUGCAGUAACGAAUAUUGUGCAAUGGGCGCAAGCCUGACCCAGCAAUGCCGCGUGCAGGAGGAAGCCCUUCGGUGUGUAAACUGCUGUCAGGGUUUCGCAAGCAAGGCCGGUUAAUAGCCGGCGGCGCUUAGCAGACCCAGAGGAAGUCUCGGCUAACUCUGUGCCAGCGGCCGCGGUAAGACAGAGGAGGCGAGCGUUGUGCGGAAUCAUUGGGCUUAAAGCGCGUGUAGGCGGCUUGGAAAGUGCUCCGUGAAAGCCCACGGCUCAACCGUGGAACUGCGGGGCAUACUGCCCGGGUUGAGGUCGCGAGGGGUGCCUGCAACUCUAGGUGGAUCGGUGAAAUGCGUAGAUAUCUAGACGUACCGCCAGAGGCGUAACCGAGGCACUGGAGCGAUUCUGACGCUGAGACGCGUAAGCGUGGGGAGCAAACAGGAUUAGGAUACCCUGGUAAGUCCACGCUGUGAACGAUGCACACUGGAUCUGGCGACUCUGACGGUUGCCGGGUCGUAGCGAAAGCGUUAAGUGUGCCGCCUGGGGACUACGGCCGCAAGGCUCAAACUCAAAGGAAUUGACGGGGGCUCACACAAGCGGUGGAGCAUGUGGCUUAAUUCGAAGCAACGCGAAGAACCUUACCCAGGUUUGACAUGCGUGGAUGCAAUCCGGGGAUAACUCGGUGCGCUGCCCUUCGGGGUGAAACUUGCACAGGUGUUGCAUGGCUGUCGUCAGCUCGUGCUGUGAAGUGUCGGGUUAAGUCCCUUAACGAGCGAAACCCCUAUCGUUAGUUGCCAGCGCGUAAUGGCGGGGACUCUAGCGAGACUGCCGGCGUUAAGCCGGAGGAAGGUGGGGACGACGUCAAGUCAUCAUGGCCCUUAUGCCUGGGGAUGCACACGUGCUACAAUGGCGUAUACAGAGCGACGCAAGACCGCGAGGUGGAGCAAAUCGCACAAAGUACGCCUCAGUUCGGAUUGGAGUCUGCGACUCGACUCCAUGAAG